Molecule: ribosomal RNA, 498 nt
Filed under: uncultured soil bacterium
Lineage: Bacteria
Description: bacterial SSU rRNA
Rfam family: Bacterial small subunit ribosomal RNA
Source: RNAcentral
AGAUUGAACGUUGGCGGCAUGCCUUACACAUGCAAGUCGAACGGCAGCACGGGAGCAAUCCUGGUGGCGAGUGGCGAACGGGUGAGUAAUACAUCGGAACGUGCCUAGUAGUGGGGGAUAGCCCGGCGAAAGCCGGAUUAAUACCGCAUACGACCUACGGGUGAAAGCGGGGGAUCGCAAGACCUCGCGCUAUUGGAGCGGCUGAUGUCAGAUUAGGUAGUUGGUAGGGUAAAAGCCUACCAAGCCGACGAUCUGUAGCUGGUCUGAGAGGACGACCAGCCACACUGGGACUGAGACACGGCCCAGACUCCUACGGGAGCAGCAGGUGGGAAUUUUGGACAAGUGGGCGCAAGCCUGAUCCAGCCAUGCCGCGUGCGGGAAGAAGGCCUACGGUUGUAAACCGCUUUUGUCAGGAAGAACGCACGUGGCCAAUACCCUGGUCGUAAUGACGGUACCUAGAACGAAUAAGCAACCGGCUAACUACGUAGCCAGCAGCCG